Molecule: Y RNA, 107 nt
Filed under: Piliocolobus tephrosceles (Ugandan red Colobus)
Lineage: Eukaryota; Metazoa; Chordata; Mammalia; Primates; Cercopithecidae
Description: Y RNA (ENSPTEG00000036985.1)
Rfam family: Y RNA
About the family: Y RNAs are components of the Ro ribonucleoprotein particle (Ro RNP), in association with Ro60 and La proteins. The Y RNAs and Ro60 and La proteins are well conserved, but the function of the Ro RNP is not known. In humans the RNA component can be one of four small RNAs -- hY1, hY3, hY4 and hY5.
Source: Rfam by way of RNAcentral
GGCUGGUCUGAAGGUAAUUAGCUAUCUUAACUGAUUGUUCACAGUUACAGAUCAAACCUCUUCUUUUACUCUCCUCCCUUCUCACUAUUGCACUUGACUCAUCUUAA